Lathyrus oleraceus (garden pea) is the source of this 694-nucleotide long non-coding RNA. RefSeq lists it as uncharacterized. The transcript has 2 exons. NCBI's taxonomy places the organism in Eukaryota, Viridiplantae, Streptophyta, Magnoliopsida, Fabales, Fabaceae. The record is from RefSeq and is a predicted model, not a curated record.
CCCAUAUAAAAAAUCCACACAAAUAGGAGGCACCAAGCCACCCUCACUCAGAAUGAAACCAGGCUCUCCAUAAUCUCCCCGUCUCCGCCGUGCCAGAGCUCUUUGCCGGCGACGGCGGAGCUCCUAUACAACAAAACACCUCAAUCUCCUUGCCUUACCUCCCGAUCACAAAUCCUUCCACCAAAUCCUCUCAAACCCAAAAGUGGAGCUAAAUAGAAGAAGGAAAACAAACGAAAAUUAUUGGGCAAAACACGAUGAAACAUGCAACAAGCUAAGGGAUAAAGCUCCUCCGAUGAAACGAGCUCACGGCGGAAAGACGGGGGAAACAAAGCUCCGACGCGGAGACCUCGGCGAAUCAAAGACAAAGGUUCAGGUUCGUUAAACUUGGUUGAUUACUUGUGAACUAUCAUGGGCUUACGAUGGUUGGGUUGCAAGUUCAUGUAUGUGAAGGUUUACUGCUGCGAAAAACUGGUUAUGAAAUAGUGGUUUGGGCUGGUUUUGAAUGAAAUCAGUGUGAUGUACAUGAUUCUUGGAGGUGCCCCAUGAGGAUGAUGAUGGCCCAAAGUUCCUUUUCAAUUGUUCCAUGUAAAUGCUAAUUGUCAUGAUAAUGGGAUGUAAUAGAAUUAAUAUUGUAAAUGUAAUGCAACCUUGUAUCCAUGUUCUAUUAGCAAAAUUUUUGAGAUUAAACUAUUAA